GACGAACGCUGGCGGCGUGCUUAACACAUGCAAGUCGAACGGAAAGGCCCUGCUUUUGUGGGGUGCUCGAGUGGCGAACGGGUGAGUAACACGUGAGUAACCUGCCCUUGACUUUGGGAUAACUUCAGGAAACUAGGGCUAAUACCGGAUAGGAGCUCCUGCUGCAUGGUGGGGGUUGGAAAGUUUCGGCGGUUGGGGAUGGACUCGCGGCUUAUCAGCUUGUUGGUGGGGUAGUGGCUUACCAAGGCUUUGACGGGUAGCCGGCCUGAGAGGGUGACCGGCCACAUUGGGACUGAGAUACGGCCCAGACUCCUACGGGAGGCAGCAGUGGGGAAUAUUGCACAAUGGGCGGAAGCCUGAUGCAGCAACGCCGCGUGCGGGAUGACGGCCUUUGGGUUGUAAACCGCUUUCGCCUGUGACGAAGCGUGAGUGACGGUAAUGGGUAAAGAAGCACCGGCUAACUACGUG
RNAcentral lists this ribosomal RNA (468 nucleotides) under uncultured bacterium. RNAcentral describes it as "partial 16S ribosomal RNA". It matches the Rfam family "Bacterial small subunit ribosomal RNA", at positions 28 to 507 of the family's 1533-position model. The record is from RNAcentral.